This 551-nucleotide ribosomal RNA is filed under the name Salmonella enterica subsp. enterica. RNAcentral's name for it is "bacterial SSU rRNA". It matches the Rfam family "Bacterial small subunit ribosomal RNA", at positions 107 to 654 of the family's 1533-position model. Lineage: Bacteria; Pseudomonadati; Pseudomonadota; Gammaproteobacteria; Enterobacterales; Enterobacteriaceae. The record is from RNAcentral.
UGAGUAAUGUCUGGGAAACUGCCUGAUGGAGGGGGAUAACUACUGGAAACGGUGGCUAAUACCGCAUAACGUCGCAAGACCAAAGAGGGGGACCUUCGGGCCUCUUGCCAUCAGAUGUGCCCAGAUGGGAUUAGCUUGUUGGUGAGGUAACGGCUCACCAAGGCGACGAUCCCUAGCUGGUCUGAGAGGAUGACCAGCCACACUGGAACUGAGACACGGUCCAGACUCCUACGGGAGGCAGCAGUGGGGAAUAUUGCACAAUGGGCGCAAGCCUGAUGCAGCCAUGCCGCGUGUAUGAAGAAGGCCUUCGGGUUGUAAAGUACUUUCAGCGGGGAGGAAGGUGUUGUGGUUAAUAACCGCAGCAAUUGACGUUACCCGCAGAAGAAGCACCGGCUAACUCCGUGCCAGCAGCCGCGGUAAUACGGAGGGUGCAAGCGUUAAUCGGAAUUACUGGGCGUAAAGCGCACGCAGGCGGUCUGUCAAGUCGGAUGUGAAAUCCCCGGGCUCAACCUGGGAACUGCAUUCGAAACUGGCAGGCUUGAGUCUUGUAG